AUUGAACGCUGGCGGAAUGCUUUACACAUGCAAGUCGAACGGUAGAGGGGGCAACCCCUCGAGAGUGGCGAACGGGUGAGUAAUAUAUCGGAACGUGCCCAGUCGUGGGGGAUAACGUAGCGAAAGUUACGCUAGUACCGCAUACGAUCUAUGGAUGAAAGCGGGGGAUCGCAAGACCUCGCGCGAUUGGAGCGGCCGAUAUCAGAUUAGGUAGUUGGUGGGGUAAAGGGCCACCAAGCCAACGAUCUGUAGCUGGUCUGAGAGGACGACCAGCCACACUGGAACUGAGACACGGUCCGGACUCCUACGGGAGGCAGCAGUGGGGAAUUUUGGACAAUGGGCGAAAGCCUGAUCCAGCCAUUCCGCGUGCAGGAUGAAGGCCCUCGGGUUGUAAACUGCUUUUGUACAGAACGAAAAGGUUUCUACUAAUACUAGGAGCUCAUGACGGUACUGUAAGAAUAAGCACCGGCUAACUACGUGCCAGCAGCCGCAGUAA
This 496-nucleotide ribosomal RNA is filed under the name uncultured bacterium. RNAcentral's name for it is "partial 16S ribosomal RNA". It matches the Rfam family "Bacterial small subunit ribosomal RNA", at positions 30 to 523 of the family's 1533-position model. The record is from RNAcentral.